UAGGGAAUCUUCCACAAUGGACGCAAGUCUGAUGGAGCAACGCCGCGUGAGUGAAGAAGGUUUUCGGAUCGUAAAUCUCUGUUGUUGGUGAAGAAGGAUAGAGGCAGUAACUGGUCUUUAUUUGACGGUAAUCAACCAGAAAGUCACGGCUAACUACGUGCCAGCAGCCGCGGUAAUACGUAGGUGGCAAGCGUUGUCCGGAUUUAUUGGGCGUAAAGCGAGCGCAGGCGGAAUGAUAAGUCUGAUGUGAAAGCCCACGGCUCAACCGUGGAACUGCAUCGGAAACUGACAUUCUUGAGUGCAGAAGAGGAGAGUGGAAUUCAAUGUGUAGCGGUGGAAUGCGUAGAUAUAUGGAAGAACACCAGUGGCGAAGGCGGGUCUCUGGUCUGCAACUGACGCUGAGGCUCGAAAGCAUGGGUAGCGAACAGG
Molecule: ribosomal RNA, 429 nt
Filed under: bacterium
Lineage: Bacteria
Description: partial 16S ribosomal RNA
Rfam family: Bacterial small subunit ribosomal RNA
Source: RNAcentral